GUGUUGGUGAUUUGUCGCAAGGGCCACACCUCUUCCCAUUCCGAACAGAGAAGUUAAGCCUUGUUGAGCCGAUGAUAGUCUUCAUGGCAAAAGUAGGCUGUCGCCAACAC
This 110-nucleotide ribosomal RNA is filed under the name Parcubacteria group bacterium GW2011_GWF1_40_6. The record is from RNAcentral.